UCUUCAAUCUGCUAUUGCAGGCUGUAGCGGCGUCUUCCAUGUUGCAUGUCCGGUUCCACCAGCUUCAGUCCCAAAUCCUGAGGUGAGGAUUUCAUUCACUACUAUGAUCUCUCAUUAGCGCUAUUUAACAUUGUCUCACUCUGCUUUGACUGGUUUUGCAGGUAGAAUUGAUCGCACCUGCUGUGGAUGGCACGCUGAAUGUGCUUAAGGCAUGCGUGGAAGCGAAUGUUAAGCGUGUUGUGUAUGUUUCCUCUGUAGCUGCACUUUUCAUGAACCCUGUGUGGUCAAAGAAUCAAGUAUUAGAUGAGACAUGUUGGUCUGAUCAGGAAUAUUGCAAGAAAACUGAGGUUAAUGCAUCCUCAAUCACUCAUCUCACUUGUUAAAUCUUACAUAUAUAUAUUUUUUUUUUGCUGAUUUUUAAGUUCCUCUGGCAGAAUUGGUAUUGUCUAGCAAAGACACGAGCAGAGAGUGAAGCUUUUGAAUUUGCAAAACGAGCCGGACUUGAUCUUGUCAGCGUUUGCCCUAGCCUUGUCUUGGGACCUAUACUGCAGCAGCACACAGUAAAUGCUAGUAGCCUGGUUCUUCUCAAACUUCUUAAAGGUAUAAACAGGCCUUAUCACAUCUGGUAUUGUCAGAACUCAGAAGCAGCUUGGUAGAUGGUGUGGUGAAUCUCGUAUCUUGAUUUUACUUUUGUGUGGUGCAGAGGGUUUUGAAUCACGUGAUAACCAAGAACGACAUUUGGUAGAUGUGCGUGAUGUGGCUCAAGCUUUACUCUUGGUUUAUGAGAAAGCAGAAGCUGAAGGAAGAUACAUAUGUACAGCCCACACGGUCAAAGAACAAAUAGUGGUUGAGAAGCUGAAGAGUCUUUAUCCACAUUACAACUACCCAAAGAGGUAAGUAAAACAAACAACACAUCUCUCUGCUUAAUUUUGUACACUCAAAACCAUCCUUGACAAAUUUUUGAGUGAAAAACUUAUAAACCUUAAAAACUGUUUUUGCUGGUCUGCAAUUUUUGUUUUGAGAAAUUGCUGUCUAUAAGAAAUGUCACUUACCUUCUAGAUCAGUGUUUUGAAGUUUCUUAAAUUUGAUCCAAGCUCUAC
Molecule: long non-coding RNA, 1100 nt
Filed under: Arabidopsis lyrata
Lineage: Eukaryota; Viridiplantae; Streptophyta; Magnoliopsida; Brassicales; Brassicaceae
Description: long non-coding RNA (ALYR_LNC002099)
Source: RNAcentral